Molecule: ribosomal RNA, 465 nt
Filed under: uncultured bacterium
Lineage: Bacteria
Description: partial 16S ribosomal RNA
Rfam family: Bacterial small subunit ribosomal RNA
Source: RNAcentral
CCUACGGGAGGCAGCAGUAGGGAAUUUUCGUCAAUGGGCGCAAGCCUGAACGAGCAAUGCCGCGUGAACGAGGAAGGUCUUCGGAUCGUAAAGUUCUGUUUAAGGGGAAAAAGAGCGGAGAGAGGAAAUGAACUCCGAUUUAUAUUACCCUUCGAGGAAGCACCGGCUAACUCCGUGCCAGCAGCUGCGGUAAUACGGAGGGUGCGAGCGUUAAUUGGAAUUACUUGGCGUAAAGGGCUCGGAGGCGGUAUGUCAAGUCAAGGGUGAAAUCCGCGCGCUCAACGUGGGAACUGCCUUUGAAACUGGCAAACUGGAGUGUGUGAGAGGAUAGUGGAAUUCCAGGUGUAGGAGUGAAAUCCGUAGAUAUCACGAGGAACAUCAGUGGCGAAGGCGACUAUCUGGCACAUAACUGACGCUGAGGAGCGAAAGCGUGGGUAGCAAACAGGAUUAGAUACCCUAGUAGUC